RNAcentral lists this long non-coding RNA (218 nucleotides) under Phoenix dactylifera (date palm). Its description in RNAcentral is "long non-coding RNA (PDAC_LNC020189)". The record is from RNAcentral. Lineage: Eukaryota; Viridiplantae; Streptophyta; Magnoliopsida; Arecales; Arecaceae.
AUUUAUGUAAUUAAGUUCCAUAAGACCUCUCCUUCUGAAAUUUUCUUUCUCCCCCUCAAUUGAUCAUUCCAUUUAAGAGUUUAGAAUCCUAAGAUAAUGUUCAAUAAAAUUGUCAAUCUCAAAACUAUAUUUUCUAUAAGUUUCAGCUUAUUUUCACAAGACUCAAGGUUUGAGAUAAGACAACCUUUAUAGAACUCAUCUCAAGGUAAUUAAAGCGU